This 358-nucleotide ribosomal RNA is filed under the name uncultured fungus. Its description in RNAcentral is "eukaryotic LSU rRNA". The stretch from base 1 to 71 matches the Rfam family "5.8S ribosomal RNA", at positions 84 to 154 of the family's 154-position model. Lineage: Eukaryota; Fungi. The record is from RNAcentral.
GUGAGUCAUCGAAUCUUUGAACGCACCUUGCGCUCCUUGGUAUUCCGAGGAGCAUGCCUGUUUGAGUGUCAUGAAACCCUCAAACUCAAGUUUAGUUCUAACUGAACCGAACUUGAGUUUGGAUUUGGACGUUUGCCGGUGAUGAACCGACUCGUCUUAAAAGUAUUAGCUGGAUCUGUCUAUAUGACUGGUUUGACUUGGCAUAAUAAGUAUUUUGCUGAGGACAUCUUCGGAUGGCCAGGACCUAGACUAUUGUCUGCUAACUAAACCUUCACUUUGAGUGCAUCUUCUGGAUGUUACUCAUUGUGUUACUUUGACAUCUGGCCUCAAAUCAGGUAGGACUACCCGCUGAACUUAA